AUAUUGGAAGUUGGAGAAAUUGAGAAAUGGAGAGACCAAUAUAGUUUAAGAGAAUGCAAGAACAAGAAGAUGUCUCACCUCUCUCACCUACUGUGUUUCUGCAUCUUGAAGCAAAGCUUUAGUGAGGAAUGAGGAGACUUUUCAACUGUCAGUGUUCUCACACCAGAGGCAGGCAAAUGUGCAGAACACAGGAGCUGCUUUCAACUGCUUCAAAAUCAAGUUUUCUUCCAAUUCAACUGCACUGACUCGCUGUUUGUGAUCGCCGUCGCCCACCACAUCUUCAAAUCUGCAGGCCGUCGAGACUCGUACCCG
Non-coding RNA from Momordica charantia (bitter melon), 312 nucleotides. The record is from RefSeq and is a predicted model, not a curated record. NCBI's taxonomy places the organism in Eukaryota, Viridiplantae, Streptophyta, Magnoliopsida, Cucurbitales, Cucurbitaceae.